ACCUGCUUGGUGACAAGCAGCUGAACUGUCAGAAGUCAGCAGAGGUCAUAGUACGAAUGGGUCUAGAACCACUCGGAAGGA
Molecule: non-coding RNA, 81 nt
Filed under: uncultured Psychrobacillus sp.
Lineage: Bacteria; Bacillati; Bacillota; Bacilli; Caryophanales; Bacillaceae
Source: RNAcentral